AUGAAUCUGGAAGCUGAAUUAUUUUCUACUUUGAUUGCUACUACAUUAAUAAUCUUUACUUAUCUAUUCUCUCACAUGCUAGUAAUUGUAUUGGUUAUCGCUUUGAAGAGCAGCAAUGUCAAGGAAGAAGAUGAAAGUAAUCUCGGAGUUUAUGUAAGAAAUAAAUUAAGUACAAGUAUUUGCAAUUUUAUUUAG
This is a non-coding RNA of Vicia faba (fava bean), 195 nucleotides long. NCBI's taxonomy places the organism in Eukaryota, Viridiplantae, Streptophyta, Magnoliopsida, Fabales, Fabaceae. The record is from the annotation of a GenBank genome assembly.